This 460-nucleotide ribosomal RNA is filed under the name uncultured bacterium. RNAcentral's name for it is "partial 16S ribosomal RNA". It matches the Rfam family "Bacterial small subunit ribosomal RNA", at positions 338 to 795 of the family's 1533-position model. The record is from RNAcentral.
CCUACGGGAGGCUGCAGUGAGGAAUAUUGGUCAAUGGACGAGAGUCUGAACCAGCCAAGUAGCGUGAAGGAUGACUGCCCUAUGGGUUGUAAACUUCUUUUAUAUGGGAAUAAAAUGUUCCACGUGUGGGAUUUUGUAUGUACCAUAUGAAUAAGGAUCGGCUAACUCCGUGCCAGCAGCCGCGGUAAUACGGAGGAUCCGAGCGUUAUCCGGAUUUAUUGGGUUUAAAGGGAGCGUAGGUGGAUUGUUAAGUCAGUUGUGAAAGUUUGCGGCUCAACCGUAAAAUUGCAGUUGAAACUGGCAGUCGUGAGUACAGUAGAGGUGUGCGGAAUUCGUGGUGUAGCGGUGAAAUGCUUAGAUAUCACGAAGAACUCCGAUUGCGAAGGCAGCUCACUGGACUGCAACUGACACUGAGGCUCGAAAGUGUGGGUAUCAAACAGGAUUAGAUACCCUUGUAGUC